Gorilla gorilla gorilla (western lowland gorilla) is the source of this 321-nucleotide long non-coding RNA. RefSeq lists it as uncharacterized. The record is from RefSeq and is a predicted model, not a curated record. NCBI's taxonomy places the organism in Eukaryota, Metazoa, Chordata, Mammalia, Primates, Hominidae. The transcript is spliced from 3 exons.
GGGAGCAAACAAGACCAUGUUCUGCUCGCCACAGCCACUGGGCAUCUGCACCAGACCAUCCAGGUUGUGCAGGGCUGUGCCCAUAAUGUCUCCUGGGAUCCAAAAGGAGAGAGAGAAGGAACUGUACUAGGAACAGAAAAGAAAAAGAUGUGGCCCUUCCUCUUCAGGAGCCCCCAACACAGUGUGGAAGACAGAUAUAGACAGUGAACUCUAAUACAAUAAGGUAAUUGAAGAUGGUGGCAGUAAGAUGAAAGGAUUCCCCACGGACUACUGAGUAAGGGAGAGUCAGGUCAACAAAGAACGGCUUGAAAGCAGUUAGUC